CCCUUAGAUGUCCUGGGCCGCACGCGCGUUACACUGAUGCAUUCAACGAGCUUAUAACCUUGGCCGAGAGGCCUGGGCAAUCUUGUUAACGUGCAUCGUGAUAGGGAUAGAUUAUUGAAAUUAUUAAUCUUGAACGAGGAAUUCCUAGUAAACGCAGAUCAUCAAUCUGCAUUGAUUACGUCCCUGCCCUUUGUACACACCGCCCGUCGCACCUACCGAUUGGAUGGUCCGGUGAAGCCUCGGGAUUGUGGUUCUUGCCGCUUUAUUGUGGCGUGACCGCGAGAACUUGUCUAAAUCUUAUCAUUUAGAGGAAGGAGAAGUCGUAACA
This 328-nucleotide ribosomal RNA is filed under the name uncultured eukaryote. RNAcentral's name for it is "partial 18S ribosomal RNA". It matches the Rfam family "Eukaryotic small subunit ribosomal RNA", at positions 1470 to 1796 of the family's 1831-position model. The record is from RNAcentral.